UGGGGUGUAGCCAAGCGGAAAGGCACUGGACUUUGACUCCAGCACUCGCCGGUUCGAAUCCGGCCAUCCUAG
RNAcentral lists this transfer RNA (72 nucleotides) under Caudoviricetes sp. RNAcentral's name for it is "tRNA-Gln". It matches the Rfam family "tRNA". Rfam says of the family: Transfer RNA (tRNA) molecules are approximately 80 nucleotides in length. Their secondary structure includes four short double-helical elements and three loops (D, anti-codon, and T loops). The record is from RNAcentral. Lineage: Duplodnaviria; Heunggongvirae; Uroviricota; Caudoviricetes.